This is a non-coding RNA of Thamnophis sirtalis, 642 nucleotides long. The record is from RefSeq and is a predicted model, not a curated record. NCBI's taxonomy places the organism in Eukaryota, Metazoa, Chordata, Lepidosauria, Squamata, Natricidae.
GAGGCUGCGCGUCCCGCCGGGCUCCGCUGUAAGCCGGGCGAAAAGAGCAGCCUGGGCGCGCAAGGCAAGCCGCCCCGGAGCCGGUGUCGUUUGAUUUGCCGACGAGAUUGCAGCCUGGGGUUGCUUUUUUGAGUGACCAAGAUCCAAUAGCCAAAAUGUCGGCAACACUAGACUUGGAAAAAGGAUGCACGGUGGAUGAACUGCUCCAUGGAUGCAUUGAAGCCUUUGACAAUGAGGGCAAGGUCCGAGACCCCCAGCUGGUCCGCAUGUUUCUCAUGAUGCAUCCGUGGUACAUCCCAUCUUCUGAGCUGGCUGCGAAACUGCGUCAAAUAUAUCCUUCCGGUUUCCACUGUGACAGGGCCUGUUUCUUAAGUGAACUUAGCUUAGUUUCACCAACUGGGGGUCCGUGAGAAAGUUUUGGUGGUGCGCAGAAAAACGAUUUGCAUUUUUUAUAUUGCACUCAAUCAGGGGUCCUCGAACUACGACCCCUGGGACAGAUACGUGCAAUGAACGCUUGUGUUGCUUCAGAGAGUCUCCCUCUUCGGGGUCUUUUUGGGUGGGUCGAAGGGGGGAAGAAAUCCCAACCUGGGGUCUGCUUCAGCCUCCUGGUGGGGGGCUUUGGAGGAAGGCUGGAGGGAAGCG